UUUGAAAUGCUUUUUGGAUGUUCAAGUUAGUCCUCUGGGCAAGUUGUUAAACUGAUUAAUUUAUUAGUUAUUUUUCGGUCCUUUAAGCGCUUCUAGAAAGGGCUUUUUUCAUUUAAGCUGUUUUUUCUCUGCAGGUUACAACGUGAAGUGGCCUGAUUGAAGAAACCUACAUCCACUCUAUGAGGCAAUUGGAUUUAGGAGCGUUUUGGCCUGAAGAAUGGUUUUGGCCAUUGGUUCUUCAAAGGCUCUGUUCUC
This 255-nucleotide long non-coding RNA is filed under the name Lathyrus oleraceus (garden pea). RNAcentral's name for it is "Pisum sativum (pea) long non-coding RNA (PSAT_LNC038099)". The record is from RNAcentral. Lineage: Eukaryota; Viridiplantae; Streptophyta; Magnoliopsida; Fabales; Fabaceae.